Non-coding RNA from Ceratotherium simum simum (southern white rhinoceros), 100 nucleotides. NCBI's taxonomy places the organism in Eukaryota, Metazoa, Chordata, Mammalia, Perissodactyla, Rhinocerotidae. The record is from RefSeq and is a predicted model, not a curated record.
UCAGCCAAUGAGAAGCCGUUGCCACCCUGACCUGUUACGUUCCCCCAGUGGACUUUCAUUUAGAACAGCCCCUCCCUACUCCCCCUUUGGUCUAUGAAAA